Molecule: ribosomal RNA, 406 nt
Filed under: uncultured bacterium
Lineage: Bacteria
Description: partial 16S ribosomal RNA
Rfam family: Bacterial small subunit ribosomal RNA
Source: RNAcentral
AUUGAACGCUGGCGGCAGGCCUAACACAUGCAAGUCGAACGAGGGGCGGACGGGUGUGUAAUGUCUGGAAAACUGCCUGAUGGCGGGGGAUACCUCCUGAAAACGGUAGUAAAUACCGCAUACCAUCAGCUGUGCCCAGAUGGGAGUGGCUAGUGGGUGGGGUAACGGCUUACCAAGGAGACGAUCCCUAGCUGGUCUGAGAGGCUGACCAGCCACACGGGAACUGAGACACGGUCCAGACUCCUACGUGAGGCAGCAGUGGGGAAUAUUGCACAAUGGGCGCAAGCCUGAUGCAGCCAUGUCGCGUGUAUGAAGAAGGCCUUCGGGUUGUAAAGUACUUUCAGCGGGGAGGCGUUACCCGCAGAAGAAGCACCGGCUAACUCCGUGCCAGCAGCCGCGGUAAUAC